AACGAACGCUGGCGGCAUGCCUAACACAUGCAAGUCGAACGAGACCUUCGGGUCUAGUGGCGCACGGGUGCGUAACGCGUGGGAACCUGCCCUUAGGUUCGGAAUAACUCCCCGAAAGGGGUGCUAAUACCGGAUAAUGUCUUCGGACCAAAGAUUUAUCGCCUUUGGAUGGGCCCGCGUUGGAUUAGCUAGUUGGUAGGGUAAAAGCCUACCAAGGCGACGAUCCAUAGCUGGUCUGAGAGGAUGAUCAGUCACACUGGGACUGAGACACGGCCCAGACUCCUACGGGAGGCAGCAGUGGGGAAUAUUGGACAAUGGGCGAAAGCCUGAUCCAGCAAUGCCGCGUGAGUGAUGAAGGCCUUAGGGUUGUAAAGCUCUUUUACCCGGGAUGAUAAUGACAGUACCGGGAGAAUAAGCUCCGGCUAACUCCGUG
RNAcentral lists this ribosomal RNA (433 nucleotides) under uncultured bacterium. Its description in RNAcentral is "partial 16S ribosomal RNA". It matches the Rfam family "Bacterial small subunit ribosomal RNA", at positions 29 to 507 of the family's 1533-position model. The record is from RNAcentral.